RNAcentral lists this ribosomal RNA (2930 nucleotides) under Escherichia coli. RNAcentral's name for it is "bacterial LSU rRNA". It matches the Rfam family "Bacterial large subunit ribosomal RNA". Lineage: Bacteria; Pseudomonadati; Pseudomonadota; Gammaproteobacteria; Enterobacterales; Enterobacteriaceae. The record is from RNAcentral.
GGGUUGUGAGGUUAAGCGACUAAGCGUACACGGUGGAUGCCCUGGCAGUCAGAGGCGAUGAAGGACGUGCUAAUCUGCGAUAAGCGUCGGUAAGGUGAUAUGAACCGUUAUAACCGGCGAUUUCCGAAUGGGGAAACCCAGUGUGUUUCGACACACUAUCAUUAACUGAAUCCAUAGGUUAAUGAGGCGAACCGGGGGAACUGAAACAUCUAAGUACCCCGAGGAAAAGAAAUCAACCGAGAUUCCCCCAGUAGCGGCGAGCGAACGGGGAGCAGCCCAGAGCCUGAAUCAGUGUGUGUGUUAGUGGAAGCGUCUGGAAAGGCGCGCGAUACAGGGUGACAGCCCCGUACACAAAAAUGCACAUGCUGUGAGCUCGAUGAGUAGGGCGGGACACGUGGUAUCCUGUCUGAAUAUGGGGGGACCAUCCUCCAAGGCUAAAUACUCCUGACUGACCGAUAGUGAACCAGUACCGUGAGGGAAAGGCGAAAAGAACCCCGGCGAGGGGAGUGAAAAAGAACCUGAAACCGUGUACGUACAAGCAGUGGGAGCACGCUUAGGCGUGUGACUGCGUACCUUUUGUAUAAUGGGUCAGCGACUUAUAUUCUGUAGCAAGGUUAACCGAAUAGGGGAGCCGAAGGGAAACCGAGUCUUAACUGGGCGUUAAGUUGCAGGGUAUAGACCCGAAACCCGGUGAUCUAGCCAUGGGCAGGUUGAAGGUUGGGUAACACUAACUGGAGGACCGAACCGACUAAUGUUGAAAAAUUAGCGGAUGACUUGUGGCUGGGGGUGAAAGGCCAAUCAAACCGGGAGAUAGCUGGUUCUCCCCGAAAGCUAUUUAGGUAGCGCCUCGUGAAUUCAUCUCCGGGGGUAGAGCACUGUUUCGGCAAGGGGGUCAUCCCGACUUACCAACCCGAUGCAAACUGCGAAUACCGGAGAAUGUUAUCACGGGAGACACACGGCGGGUGCUAACGUCCGUCGUGAAGAGGGAAACAACCCAGACCGCCAGCUAAGGUCCCAAAGUCAUGGUUAAGUGGGAAACGAUGUGGGAAGGCCCAGACAGCCAGGAUGUUGGCUUAGAAGCAGCCAUCAUUUAAAGAAAGCGUAAUAGCUCACUGGUCGAGUCGGCCUGCGCGGAAGAUGUAACGGGGCUAAACCAUGCACCGAAGCUGCGGCAGCGACGCUGAUGCGUUGUUGGGUAGGGGAGCGUUCUGUAAGCCUGCGAAGGUGUGCUGUGAGGCAUGCUGGAGGUAUCAGAAGUGCGAAUGCUGACAUAAGUAACGAUAAAGCGGGUGAAAAGCCCGCUCGCCGGAAGACCAAGGGUUCCUGUCCAACGUUAAUCGGGGCAGGGUGAGUCGACCCCUAAGGCGAGGCCGAAAGGCGUAGUCGAUGGGAAACAGGUUAAUAUUCCUGUACUUGGUGUUACUGCGAAGGGGGGACGGAGAAGGCUAUGUUGGCCGGGCGACGGUUGUCCCGGUUUAAGCGUGUAGGCUGGUUUUCCAGGCAAAUCCGGAAAAUCAAGGCUGAGGCGUGAUGACGAGGCACUACGGUGCUGAAGCAACAAAUGCCCUGCUUCCAGGAAAAGCCUCUAAGCAUCAGGUAACAUCAAAUCGUACCCCAAACCGACACAGGUGGUCAGGUAGAGAAUACCAAGGCGCUUGAGAGAACUCGGGUGAAGGAACUAGGCAAAAUGGUGCCGUAACUUCGGGAGAAGGCACGCUGAUAUGUAGGUGAAGCGACUUGCUCGUGGAGCUGAAAUCAGUCGAAGAUACCAGCUGGCUGCAACUGUUUAUUAAAAACACAGCACUGUGCAAACACGAAAGUGGACGUAUACGGUGUGACGCCUGCCCGGUGCCGGAAGGUUAAUUGAUGGGGUUAGCGCAAGCGAAGCUCUUGAUCGAAGCCCCGGUAAACGGCGGCCGUAACUAUAACGGUCCUAAGGUAGCGAAAUUCCUUGUCGGGUAAGUUCCGACCUGCACGAAUGGCGUAAUGAUGGCCAGGCUGUCUCCACCCGAGACUCAGUGAAAUUGAACUCGCUGUGAAGAUGCAGUGUACCCGCGGCAAGACGGAAAGACCCCGUGAACCUUUACUAUAGCUUGACACUGAACAUUGAGCCUUGAUGUGUAGGAUAGGUGGGAGGCUUUGAAGUGUGGACGCCAGUCUGCAUGGAGCCGACCUUGAAAUACCACCCUUUAAUGUUUGAUGUUCUAACGUUGACCCGUAAUCCGGGUUGCGGACAGUGUCUGGUGGGUAGUUUGACUGGGGCGGUCUCCUCCUAAAGAGUAACGGAGGAGCACGAAGGUUGGCUAAUCCUGGUCGGACAUCAGGAGGUUAGUGCAAUGGCAUAAGCCAGCUUGACUGCGAGCGUGACGGCGCGAGCAGGUGCGAAAGCAGGUCAUAGUGAUCCGGUGGUUCUGAAUGGAAGGGCCAUCGCUCAACGGAUAAAAGGUACUCCGGGGAUAACAGGCUGAUACCGCCCAAGAGUUCAUAUCGACGGCGGUGUUUGGCACCUCGAUGUCGGCUCAUCACAUCCUGGGGCUGAAGUAGGUCCCAAGGGUAUGGCUGUUCGCCAUUUAAAGUGGUACGCGAGCUGGGUUUAGAACGUCGUGAGACAGUUCGGUCCCUAUCUGCCGUGGGCGCUGGAGAACUGAGGGGGGCUGCUCCUAGUACGAGAGGACCGGAGUGGACGCAUCACUGGUGUUCGGGUUGUCAUGCCAAUGGCACUGCCCGGUAGCUAAAUGCGGAAGAGAUAAGUGCUGAAAGCAUCUAAGCACGAAACUUGCCCCGAGAUGAGUUCUCCCUGACCCUUUAAGGGUCCUGAAGGAACGUUGAAGACGACGACGUUGAUAGGCCGGGUGUGUAAGCGCAGCGAUGCGUUGAGCUAACCGGUACUAAUGAACCGUGAGGCUUAACCUUACAACGCCGAAGCUGUU